This 427-nucleotide ribosomal RNA is filed under the name uncultured Noviherbaspirillum sp. RNAcentral describes it as "bacterial SSU rRNA". It matches the Rfam family "Bacterial small subunit ribosomal RNA", at positions 353 to 772 of the family's 1533-position model. Lineage: Bacteria; Pseudomonadati; Pseudomonadota; Betaproteobacteria; Burkholderiales; Oxalobacteraceae. The record is from RNAcentral.
AGUGGGGAAUUUUGGACAAUGGGGGCAACCCUGAUCCAGCAAUGCCGCGUGAGUGAAGAAGGCCUUCGGGUUGUAAAGCUCUUUUGUCCGGGAAGAAAUCCUUCUGGCUAAUACCUGGAAGGGAUGACGGUACUGGAAGAAUAAGCACCGGCUAACUACGUGCCAGCAGCCGCGGUAAUACGUAGGGUGCAAGCGUUAAUCGGAAUUACUGGGCGUAAAGCGUGCGCAGGCGGUUGUGCAAGACCGAUGUGAAAGCCCCGGGCUCAACCUGGGAACGGCAUUGGUGACUGCACGGCUAGAGUGUGUCAGAGGGGGGUAGAAUUCCACGUGUAGCAGUGAAAUGCGUAGAGAUGUGGAGGAAUACCGAUGGCGAAGGCAGCCCCCUGGGAUAACACUGACGCUCAUGCACGAAAGCGUGGGGAGCAAA